CUUGUGAAGUUUAAAUUCUGUUGCCAUGAGCCAGAAGCAGUGACAUUAAUGAAACAUGGUUUGUGGCCUUCAUCACCCAAGGAACCACAAGCAGCAUUUGAAAAAAAUCUUAUGGAAUUGGUCAAAUAUAUCUUCUUGGAAUGCCGAACAUCUUUAAAGUCGAUAUGUCAGGCAAUAUACUGGAUUAUGCCUUCUCUUUCACCAGUUUAUGUAAAGGACAUAUAUCGGCUACUUGUUGGUGAAAAUUUUGGAGAAUACCGUUACCUUAGCUACAUGCUGGAUACAUUUGGUGGGAAAAAUGUGCAGUUGGAUAAUGUUAGUCAAUGCCCUGCAUGCCCUAAGAAAAGUGGAAAUAUGUAUGUAUCUUUG
Dendronephthya gigantea is the source of this 369-nucleotide long non-coding RNA. RefSeq lists it as uncharacterized. The transcript has 3 exons. The record is from RefSeq and is a predicted model, not a curated record. NCBI's taxonomy places the organism in Eukaryota, Metazoa, Cnidaria, Anthozoa, Malacalcyonacea, Nephtheidae.